GCCGCCGUAGCUUAAUCAAAGCAUAACACUGAAGCUGUUAAGAUGGGCCCUGAAAAGCCCCGGAAGCA
This 68-nucleotide transfer RNA is filed under the name Pervagor janthinosoma (blackbar filefish). RNAcentral's name for it is "tRNA-Phe". It matches the Rfam family "tRNA". Rfam says of the family: Transfer RNA (tRNA) molecules are approximately 80 nucleotides in length. Their secondary structure includes four short double-helical elements and three loops (D, anti-codon, and T loops). The record is from RNAcentral. Lineage: Eukaryota; Metazoa; Chordata; Actinopteri; Tetraodontiformes; Monacanthidae.